ACUUAAAAAUCUUUAUCUUUUUCAAGGAAAUAAGAAACCUUUAGCUGGCUCGCACUCACGGCUCAUCUCCCUCAAUGAAAUUAAAAUCCCUAAAUCACUACCCUCUAAACCUAAAUCUGCAUAUUCCUCUCAAAGUCUAUGAAUGACGGUUUGGGGAGAAAAUUAAACUAGGAAUGGACGACUAUCUCACCAAAAGUUUAGUGUGAAACAAUCAAAGACAGAAAGUAAGAUCGGAUCCACUACGAAUGCUACGAAAUAUGGUUUCCUUCCGCCAGAGAAAUUUUACAGGUUUUGGAGAUUGAAGUUUACAAGUAAAAAAUCUUAUUUGGCGGGCAUACAAGUUGACUAUCAUUUUGCUAGGAAUAUUGGAUAAACUUUGUAUAAUGUCUAGGGAUGUUAUCUAGGUUUUUUGUGUGAGUUCUGUCAACAAUAUUGUGAUUGCUUAAUUGAAGUGUACCUGUAAAUGACGUCAUUAAUGGAAUGUUAAUAAAUUUUUGUAAAGCAAAAUUUAUCUCUAUAU
Molecule: long non-coding RNA, 520 nt
Organism: Nicotiana tabacum (common tobacco)
Lineage: Eukaryota; Viridiplantae; Streptophyta; Magnoliopsida; Solanales; Solanaceae
Source: RefSeq, a predicted model, not a curated record